Molecule: ribosomal RNA, 371 nt
Filed under: uncultured eukaryote
Lineage: Eukaryota
Description: bacterial SSU rRNA
Rfam family: Eukaryotic small subunit ribosomal RNA
Source: RNAcentral
CAAUAGCGUAUAUUAAAGUUGUUGCAGUUAAAAAGCUCGUAGUUGGAUUUCUGGCCGAGUGUCCCCAGGCCAGCAUGACGUUUGGUCCUGGGCGCUCUGCCAUCCUUCUGUCAACCUUCGCCUCGUUCAUUCGUGGCGCUGGGGCUCAGAUAUUUUACCUUGAGAAAAUUAGAGUGUUUCAGGCAGGCUUUCGCCGGAAUACAUUAGCAUGGAAUAAUGGAAAAGGACUUCAACCUCUUCUGUUGGUCUGAGAGGCUGUAGUAAUGAUUAAUAGGGAUAGUUGGGGGCAUUCAUAAUUUAAUUGUCAGGAGGUAGUAAAUUCCUUGGUAUUUAAUGAAAGUAUGAACUUACUGCGUAAAGCCAAGUUUGCC